UUUGAGUUUCACCGUUGCCGGCGUACUCCCCAGGUGGAUUACUUAACGCUUUCGCUGUAGAGCUUACACUAUAUCGCAAACUCCUAGUAAUCAUCGUUUACUGCGUGGACUACCAGGGAUUGAAAUGUACCUGACGAACUGCGAGAGUGGUUUUCCAGCAAUGGCAGGUAUGUAGGUGCUGCAUGGUUGUCGUCAGCUCGUGCCGUGAGGUGUCGGCUUAAGUGCCAUAACGAGCGCAACCCUGACUGUCAGUUGCUAACAGGUUAAGCUGAGGACUCUGGCGGGACUGCCGGCGUAAGCUGUGAGGAAGGUUGGGAUGACGUCAAAUCAGCACGGCCCUUACAUCCGGGGCGACACACGUGUUACAAUGGCAGGGA
Tannerella sp. is the source of this 377-nucleotide non-coding RNA. The record is from Rfam. NCBI's taxonomy places the organism in Bacteria, Pseudomonadati, Bacteroidota, Bacteroidia, Bacteroidales, Tannerellaceae.